Molecule: ribosomal RNA, 253 nt
Filed under: uncultured prokaryote
Description: partial 16S ribosomal RNA
Rfam family: Bacterial small subunit ribosomal RNA
Source: RNAcentral
UACGGGGGGGGCAAGCGUUGUUCGGAAUUACUGGGCGUAAAGGGCUCGUAGGUGGCCAACUAAGUCGGACGUGAAAUCCCUCGGCUUAACCGGGGAACUGCGUCCGAUACUGGUUGGCUUGAGUUUGGGAGAGGGAUGCGGAAUUCCAGGUGUAGCGGUGAAAUGCGUAGAUAUCGGGAGGAACACCUGAGGCGAAGGCGGGCUACUGGGCCGAUACUGACGCUGAUGCGCGAAAGCCAGGGGAGCAAACGGG